GAUGAAGAACGUAGUGAAAUGCGAUAAGUAAUGUGAAUUGCAGAAUUCAGUGAAUCAUCGAAUCUUUGAACGCACAUUGCGCCCGUCAGUAUUCUGGCGGGCAUGCCUGUUCGAGCGUCAUUACGCCCCUCAAGUCCCCUGUGGACUUGGUGUUGGGGAUCGGCGAGGCUGGUUUUCCAGCACAGCCGUCGCUUAAAUUAAUUGGCGGUCUCGCCGUGGCCCUCCUCUGCGCAGUAGUAAAACACUCGCAACAGGAGCCCGGCGCGGUCCACUGCCGUAAAACCCCCCAACUUUUUAUAGUUGACCUCGAAUCAGGUAGGACUACCCGCUGAACUUAAGCAUAUCAAUAAGCGGAGGA
Molecule: unclassified non-coding RNA, 358 nt
Filed under: soil metagenome
Description: partial contains 5.8S ribosomal RNA, internal transcribed spacer 2, and large subunit ribosomal RNA
Rfam family: 5.8S ribosomal RNA (bases 1-120)
Source: RNAcentral